GAUCAUGGCUCAGGAUGAACGCUAGCGACAGGCUUAGCACAUGCAAGUCGAGGGGCAGCACGGGAGUAGCAAUACAACUGGUGGCGACCGGCGCACGGGUGAGUAACGCGUAUGCAACCUACCUAUCAGAGGGGAAUAACCCGGCGAAAGUCGGACUAAUACCGCAUAAAACAGGGGCACCGCAUGGUGAUAUUUGUUAAAGAAAUUCGCUGAUAGAUGGGCAUGCGUUCCAUUAGGUAGUUGGUGAGGUAACGGCUCACCAAGCCGACGAUGGAUAGGGGAACUGAGAGGUUGGUCCCCCACACUGGUACUGAGACACGGACCAGACUCCUACGGGAGGCAGCAGUGAGGAAUAUUGGUCAAUGGGCGAGAGCCUGAACCAGCCAAGUCGCGUGCCAGGAAGACGGCCCUAUGGGUUGUAAACUGCUUUUGUAUGGGAGCAAUAAGGGCUACGCGUAGUCCGAUGAGAGUACCAUACGAAUAAGCACCGGCUAACUCCGUGCCAGCCGCAGC
RNAcentral lists this ribosomal RNA (513 nucleotides) under uncultured bacterium. RNAcentral describes it as "bacterial SSU rRNA". It matches the Rfam family "Bacterial small subunit ribosomal RNA", at positions 15 to 518 of the family's 1533-position model. The record is from RNAcentral.